RNAcentral lists this ribosomal RNA (402 nucleotides) under uncultured bacterium. Its description in RNAcentral is "bacterial SSU rRNA". It matches the Rfam family "Bacterial small subunit ribosomal RNA", at positions 355 to 774 of the family's 1533-position model. The record is from RNAcentral.
UCGGGAAUUUUGGGCAAUGGGCGAAAGCCUGACCCAGCAACGCCGCGUGAGGGAUGAAGUAUUUCGGUAUGUAAACCUCGAAAGAAUGGGAAGAAUAAAUGACGGUACCAUUUAUAAGCUCCGGCUAACUACGUGCCAGCAGCCGCGGUAAUACGCAGGGAGCAAGCGUUGUUCGGAUUUACUGGGCGUAAAGGGCGCGUAGGCGGCGCGGUAAGUCACUUGUGAAAUCUCUGAGCUUAACUCAGAACGGCCAAGUGAUACUGCUGUGCUAGAGUGCGGAAGAGGCAACCAGAAUUCUUGGUGUAGCUGUGAAAUGCGUAGAUAUCAAGAGGAACACCUGAGGCGAAGGCGGGUUGCUGGGCCGACACUGACGCUGAUGCGCGAAAGCCAGGGGAGCAAACG